This 377-nucleotide ribosomal RNA is filed under the name uncultured bacterium. RNAcentral describes it as "bacterial SSU rRNA". It matches the Rfam family "Bacterial small subunit ribosomal RNA", at positions 30 to 406 of the family's 1533-position model. The record is from RNAcentral.
AUUGAACGCUGGCGGCAUGCCUAACACAUGCAAGUCGAACGGUAACAGGCCCUUCGGGGCGCUGACGAGUGGCGGACGGGUGAGUAAUGCUUAGGAAUCUGCCUAGUAGUGGGGGAUAACCCGGGGAAACUCGGGCUAAUACCGCAUACGUCCUACGGGAGAAAGCGGGGGGACCUUCGGGCCUCGCGCUAUUAGAUGAGCCUAAGUCCGAUUAGCUAGUUGGUAGGGUAACGGCCUACCAAGGCGACGANCGGUAGCUGGUCUGAGAGGACGACCAGCCACACUGGGACUGAGACACGGCCCAGACUCCUACGGGAGGCAGCAGUGGGGAAUAUUGGACAAUGGGCGCAAGCCUGAUCCAGCGAUGCCGCGUGUGU